This 253-nucleotide ribosomal RNA is filed under the name uncultured bacterium. RNAcentral describes it as "partial 16S ribosomal RNA". It matches the Rfam family "Bacterial small subunit ribosomal RNA", at positions 524 to 776 of the family's 1533-position model. The record is from RNAcentral.
GACAGAGGGUGCAAACGUUGCUCGGAAUCACUGGGCGUAAAGGGCGCGUAGGCGGGAAUGUAAGUCGGGCGUGAAAUCCCCAGGCUCAACCUGGGAACUGCACUCGAAACUGCGUUUCUUGAGUAUCGGAGAGGAAAGCGGAAUUCCUGGUGUAGAGGUGAAAUUCGUAGAUAUCAGAAGGAACACCAGUGGCGAAGGCGGCUUUCUGGACGGUAACUGACGCUGAGGCGCGAAAGCGUGGGGAGCAAACAGG